RNAcentral lists this ribosomal RNA (476 nucleotides) under uncultured bacterium. RNAcentral's name for it is "partial 16S ribosomal RNA". It matches the Rfam family "Bacterial small subunit ribosomal RNA", at positions 28 to 523 of the family's 1533-position model. The record is from RNAcentral.
GAUGAACGCUGGCGGCGUGCUUAACACAUGCAAGUCGAGCGAGUGAGUUCUUCGGAACGAUCUAGCGGCGGACGGGUGAGUAACACGUGGGCAACCUGCCUCAUAGAGGGGAAUAGCCUCCCGAAAGGGAGAUUAAUACCGCAUAAAAUUAUCGAGUGGCAUCACAUGAUAAUCAAAGGAGUAAACCGCUAUGAGAUGGGCCCGCGGCGCAUUAGCUAGUUGGUGAGGUAACGGCUCACCAAGGCGACGAUGCGUAGCCGACCUGGGAGGGUGAUCGGCCACAUUGGGACUGAGACACGGCCCAGACUCCUACGGGAGGCAGCAGGGGGGAAUAUUGCAAAAUGGGGGAAACCCUGAUGCAGCAAAGCCGCGUGAGUGAUGAAGGUCUUCGGAUUGUAAAGCUCUGUCUUUGGGGACGAUAAUGACGGUACCCAAGGAGGAAGCCACGGCUAACUACGUGCCAGCAGCCGCGGUAA